GAGGUUGUAGCUCAGUGGUUGAGUGCGUGCCUUGAGUGCAUGAGGCACUGGGUUCGAUCCUCAGCACCACA
Molecule: transfer RNA, 71 nt
Filed under: Marmota monax (woodchuck)
Lineage: Eukaryota; Metazoa; Chordata; Mammalia; Rodentia; Sciuridae
Description: tRNA.Ser
Rfam family: tRNA
About the family: Transfer RNA (tRNA) molecules are approximately 80 nucleotides in length. Their secondary structure includes four short double-helical elements and three loops (D, anti-codon, and T loops). Further hydrogen bonds mediate the characteristic L-shaped molecular structure. tRNAs have two regions of fundamental functional importance: the anti-codon, which is responsible for specific mRNA codon recognition, and the 3' end, to which the tRNAs corresponding amino acid is attached (by aminoacyl-tRNA synthetases). tRNAs cope with the degeneracy of the genetic code in two manners: having more than one tRNA (with a specific anti-codon) for a particular amino acid; and 'wobble' base-pairing, i.e. permitting non-standard base-pairing at the 3rd anti-codon position.
Source: RNAcentral